AUGGCGGCGGCGGCGGCCCGCGGGCGGGGGACGGGGACGCCCGGCGGUCGCGCCGGGGCCGGCAGCGGGCCGAGCACGCGCUCACGCGGGACGGAGGCGGGGCGCCGGGCCAGAGCCCGAACCCCUCCCCGCCACCGGGGAGACGCGCGCGGGGCCGCGGACGGCCAACGGCGAGCGGCCGCCGGGGACCCGACCCACGCCCGGGGCACGCGCGCGCCAGGGCGGGGACGCGGCCGGCGGGGGUGGGGGGCGGCGGGAGACGACGGCGGCCCCUCGUCACCACACAACGCCACCGCCGGGGGGCGGGGGCGAGCGGCGGACGCGGGCGGGAAGGCCGCAGCGGGCCCGGGAAGCGCCGGGCGCCCCGGGGAGCGCGGCACCGGGUCGGCAAGACGGACGACGGACGGGGGCGGACUUUCGGGAAAGGCCGCGGACGGGAGACGCCCCGGCGGCCAGGGGCCAGCCAGGCGCCGGAGAACGGCGAGCGGGAGCGGUGGAGGAGAGGACCGCGGGCCACCGCGAGGGGCUUUCGGGAAGCCUCAGAAGGCACCUGGGAGGCCCCAAGCAACCUCGCGGGGCUCGGGGGCCCCAACCGCCACCGUUCACGCGACCGGUUCUCCCGAGAACGCUCUCCCGCACACGCGCAACGACGCCCGCCCCAACACCCCCCGCGCGCCUCCCUCCUCCCCUUCCUCGGAGGACCGAGAGCACUUCGCCCGGGGACGCCCCCCCCCGAGCCACGGCGGCCAAGGGGGGGGGCAAGACACCCAACAGCGGCGAGGCCGGUUUCGGUCCACGGAGGGCGGAGUUAGGGGCGCGGCACGCGCGGCGCACCCGCGACCGUGCGGUCGGGGGACGCGGGCAGGCGGGGGGGCGGGGGGGGCGGGUCGGCGGCGACGGGGAGGAGGCGCACAGCGGGCGAGGGCCGGGAGAGCGCGUGGGGAAGGGCCGGUCCCGGGAAGGGCGCGCCAACGAAGGCGCGAGCCGGGCCACCGGGUAAACGCGCACGGGAUCCCACCGCCACCAGCACGAGGGCGGUCCCGUCCGAACCUCCGUCCGUCCAUCCGCCCGUCCGUCCAUCCGUCCGGUCCAACCCGGAGUCACGACCCGGGGAGGCGCCCCCAGGCGGGAGCUGGCCCGACCCACACGCGCCCGCCGAGCCACCGCCGGCGGCGACUCGGCUCGGGAGCGGGCGGCGGCCCAGACAGCCAGCCGGCCGCUAGCGCGGCACACACGCACACACACGGGGUGAGUGGCGUGGGGGGGGGCGGGCCGCCCCAACCCCCCGGCCGCGCGCACGCUCGCACACGCACGCGGGCAACACACCCCGCACCGGACGCCGGCCCGGCCCGGCGGGAUCCUCCCCCGUCUCGGAGGGGGGAGGCGCAGGCCGCGGUAGGUAGGCAAAGAGCGGCACUCUGCCCAAACACGUCGCGACGGGAGUCCAACCCCGCGUCGCUGGCCACACUACACGCGCAGAGGAGGGGCAGCGGCUGGGGGCUCCGGUACCCCAAGGCACCCUCUCGGAUCGCUAGAGAAGGCUUUCUCACCGAGGGCGCAUCGCCCCCACCCGUUCGUCCUCC
Molecule: long non-coding RNA, 1583 nt
Filed under: Canis lupus familiaris (dog)
Lineage: Eukaryota; Metazoa; Chordata; Mammalia; Carnivora; Canidae
Description: lncRNA (ENSCAFG00040004308.1)
Source: RNAcentral